Molecule: unclassified non-coding RNA, 636 nt
Filed under: Hevea brasiliensis (rubber tree)
Lineage: Eukaryota; Viridiplantae; Streptophyta; Magnoliopsida; Malpighiales; Euphorbiaceae
Source: RNAcentral
GAAUCAGGAACAGUAAAGUUGGUUGUUUAAUUGAUUUUUGAUUAAUAUGAUCCCAAUUUGAGAUUUUUCGCCAUCUUUCGGCCGCAAUUUGUAUGAACUGUCGCCACCCCAAUGGACAGUCGCCGCCGUUACCGCCACCGCACCAUUCUCGGCGCGUCGUCAAUCUCCUCCACCCCAUUGCCGUCAAUUCCAAGCUUCCAAUGAACAAUUGCCACGUGUCACUGCCAAUUCACCGCCAAACGUGAAUAUCACUGACGAACGAUUUCGGAGUGGAACGAAUCCGGAAAAUGGAUUACUUUCUAGUUGCUACGUUGAGGAACGUAAUUUCAAGCUGCGAUCGGCUUUUUUUUCCUGAACAAGCAAAGUAAAGUUGUGAGUUCGAGUUAGCAAAGAACGUGUGAUGGGGUUUGAUGAAAGUCAGCAGUCUGAUCCAUUGGUUGUGAUACGCAAUGGAAAGGAGAUCAUAUUGCAGGCAUUCAACUGGGAAUCUCAUAAACAUGAUUGGUGGAGAAAUUUAGAUAUGAAAGUUCCUGAUAUUGCAAAGUCUGGUAUCACAACUGCUUGGCUGCCUCCGGUGUGUCACUCAUUGGCUCCUGAAGGUUGAAAGUUAAAGUGUUUUAGUCUUUUGAGUUGUUG